UACGUAGGGGGCAAGCGUUGUCCGGAAUUACUGGGCGUAAAGAGCGCGCAGGCGGUCGUAUAAGUCGCGUGUGAAAGCCCCCGGCUCAACUGGGGAGGGUCACGCGAUACUGUUCGACUUGAAGGCAGGAGAGGGAAGCGGAAUUCCCGGUGUAGUGGUGAAAUGCGUAGAUAUCGGGAGGAACACCUGUGGCGAAAGCGGCGCACUGGACCACAACUGACGCUGAGGCGCGAAAGCUAGGGGAGCAAACAGG
RNAcentral lists this ribosomal RNA (253 nucleotides) under uncultured bacterium. RNAcentral describes it as "partial 16S ribosomal RNA". It matches the Rfam family "Bacterial small subunit ribosomal RNA", at positions 524 to 776 of the family's 1533-position model. The record is from RNAcentral.